Molecule: long non-coding RNA, 386 nt
Filed under: Homo sapiens (human)
Lineage: Eukaryota; Metazoa; Chordata; Mammalia; Primates; Hominidae
Description: non-protein coding lnc-RNF20-6:2
Source: RNAcentral
AAAAAAAAAAAAAAAAAAAAACGCAAUGAUUAGAAAUGUAUCCCUCAUAAUAGGCUCUAUUGCAGACUCUACUAUAAAGGCUGUGGUUACACGACAGACUUUAAAUUCUCCUUUGAAAUAAAAUUGCUCUAGAUUAUAAACUGGCUAAACAGAGAAGUAUCUGAGGAACUGCCAGCACUUGUGGCCUAUGGAGAAAUAUAUCAAAUGUAGAUUAUAGAUAUUCAGGUACAGAAGAUUAACAAAAAGACAGCUGAGUUAAUUGAGUGGCCCCUUAUCUAGUUCACUCUUUACUUAACUUUAGGUGGUUUGGUUUAUGGGGACCCUGGGUGAGAAGCAUAUACCAAAUUCUUGGUAUUAUUCUCCUAAUAGUCAUAAUAGAUUUCCUA